RNAcentral lists this microRNA (23 nucleotides) under Sarcophilus harrisii (Tasmanian devil). Its description in RNAcentral is "Sha-Mir-139_3p* (star (passenger))". RNAcentral also lists the same sequence under 2 other names. Lineage: Eukaryota; Metazoa; Chordata; Mammalia; Dasyuromorphia; Dasyuridae. The record is from RNAcentral.
UGGAGAUACGGCCCUGUUGGAAU